RNAcentral lists this ribosomal RNA (253 nucleotides) under uncultured bacterium. RNAcentral describes it as "partial 16S ribosomal RNA". It matches the Rfam family "Bacterial small subunit ribosomal RNA", at positions 524 to 776 of the family's 1533-position model. The record is from RNAcentral.
UACGAAGGGGGCUAGCGUUGCUCGGAAUCACUGGGCGUAAAGGGUGCGUAGGCGGGUCUUUAAGUCAGGGGUGAAAUCCUGGAGCUCAACUCCAGAACUGCCUUUGAUACUGAGGAUCUUGAGUUCGGGAGAGGUGAGUGGAUCUGCGAGUGUAGAGGUGAAAUUCGUAGAUAUUCGCAAGAACACCAGUGGCGAAGGCGGCUCACUGGCCCGAUACUGACGCUGAGGCACGAAAGCGUGGGGAGCAAACAGG